GGGCAGGUUGCGGAGUGGCCAAUCGCAGCAGACUGUAAAUCUGCCGGCUCUAUGCCUUCGGAGGUUCGAAUCCUCCCCUGCCCA
This 84-nucleotide transfer RNA is filed under the name bacterium. RNAcentral describes it as "tRNA-Tyr". It matches the Rfam family "tRNA". Rfam says of the family: Transfer RNA (tRNA) molecules are approximately 80 nucleotides in length. RNAcentral also lists the same sequence under 1 other name. The record is from RNAcentral.